UGCCCGCUGGUUGUCUAGGAGGCUAUUUGAGGAGAGUGAACAUUUGUCAGUAGUUGACAUGUACUAGUCUGCCAAGGGGAGUCAUCCAGAGGAAGAGGAUUUGAGGAGGUGGACUGUGGAGCCCAGGAGGGAGUAAGAACAUAUUGCAGACAGGUCUUGUUCCCACCACCUCCAGUGGAUUCACAAGGAAGCCUCAACUCCUGCUGGGGAUCUUGUUAGUCCAUGGGAAUCACUCCUGACUGUCUUCUUUCAUAAUCUGUAUUGGUGGGCCUGACUUCAGGGUUUUUAGGAUAUUCUGUCAUGCUCACUCCAGUUCCCUUUCAGACUGUCUGGAAGGGAGUCAUUUGGCACUCAAAAUAGCUUCUUUCCCUCCUUACUUUUUUUAUCUUAUCUUUUCUCCUUCUCCACUCCUCCCUUCCUAUUGACUCAAAUUGACUGUCAUUAUUUUGGGCAAUGUAUUUAAGUCAUCCGACUGACUUUGAGAAAAAAGGGACCUGUGGAGGAAAGAUAAGGAAGUAAAGGAGAGAGAGAAGAGACAGGCAGUAUAUUUUGAAUUUUGAAGCUUUCUAAACAAUUUUUGUACUUUGCCUUCCUCAUGAGGGUACUCAAGUCAAUAAAUGUUAAUAAGUGUUAUUUGAUUGACUUUCUGACUACCUUCCUUUUCCCACAGAGUUAAACAGAAGACAGGCUUCUGGAAGAAAAAAAUUUGACACCUCUUUGCCUGAUGGUACCCUUGCCCCAUCAGAUGACUCCUCGGUGUCCACAAUAACUGCCAACAAUCCUUCAGGCUAUAAACACCAAAUGAGCUUCCCUUGCUUCAGAAACAUAUCAUGGAGCUCUUACUACAAGAACUUCACACUCAGCUUCACUAUUACCAACAUGUUUUACACAACAAAGAUGAAUCAAAAGGACUCCAGAACAUUCGAGGCUGCUGAGCAUAUCCUGCAAAUCUUGGUGAGAUUCUACUGCCAUUUCCUUCUACCUCCUCUGUCUUCUGUCCCAUGCUACCUUCCUUAGCCCUGUGUAUUUAGCCUUGCCCUAGCCAGGCACACAGAAGUUCCCUUCUCUUCUUUUGUUUCCAGCUCAAGGUAUUGUUUGGAAGCAGCAGGAUUGGCUCUCAGUAUUCUGGAUGCAGUGACCUUUCACUGAGGUGAGAAUCCUUCAAGACAUCAUCAGCUCAGAUAUUAGGGACCAGCAAUUUCCAUUUCACUCAGAUGAUGCCCAGGCUGGUUUCUUCUUCAGCUUCUUAAUAGAAAUUCCUUCUUUCCCAAGCUGUAAUGGAUAAAAUCUUCCAACCAAGAAGCCUUUAAAAUAUUUUACACUCCUUAUACUCUUUCUCAGGUAGAAAAAUAUCCUUUCCCCAUUACUCUUUCCAUAGAUAAGUUUGCAACUGUUUUCACUUUAUAACGCCACAUGAAAGGAAUAACAUAGGAGGCACCAAUUGAGUGCUUAGAAAAUGAUUGAUUAAUACAUAUCAACAUUACCUUUCUCUAGAAUUAUAU
This 1502-nucleotide long non-coding RNA is filed under the name Monodelphis domestica (gray short-tailed opossum). RNAcentral's name for it is "lncRNA (ENSMODG00000041833.1)". The record is from RNAcentral. Lineage: Eukaryota; Metazoa; Chordata; Mammalia; Didelphimorphia; Didelphidae.